UCGAACGCGAAAGGGAGCAAUCCUGAGUAGAGUGGCGUCCGGGUGAGUAACACGUGAAUAAUCUACCUGCGGGUGGGGAAUAACUUUCCGAAAGGAAGGCUAAUACCGCAUAAAAUCUAGCUGGGGUAGCCUAGUUAGAUCAAAGAGGGGGAUCGCAAGACCUCUCGCCUGUAGAGGAGUUCGCGGCUGAUUAGCUAGUUGGCGGGGUAAAGGCCCACCAAGGCGACGAUCAGUAGCCGGCCUGAGAGGGCGGUCGGCCACACUGGCACUGAAAUACGGGCCAGACUCCUACGGGAGGCAGCAGUGGGGAAUUUUGGGCAAUGGCCGAAAGGCUGACCCAGCAACGCCGCGUGAAGGAUGAAAUUUUUCGGAAUGUAAACUUCGUAAAUUAGGAAAGAAUAAGUUUGUACUAAUACUGCAAGCGAUGACGGUACCUAAUGUAAGCCCCGGCUAACUCCGUGCCAGCAGCCGCGGUAAUACGGGGGGGGCAAGCGUUGUUCGGAAUUAUUGGGCGUAAAGGGCGCGUAGGCGGUCAGACUAAGUCGAAUGUAAAAUACCAAGGCUUAACCUAGGCAGGUCGUUCGAUACUAGUCGACUAGAGUGUGGAAGGGGUUGCCGGAAUUCCUGGUGUAGCGGUGAAAUGCGUAGAUAUCAGGAGGAACACCGGAGGCGAAGGCGGGCAACUGGGCCAACACUGACGCUGAGGCGCGAAAGCUAGGGGAGCAAACAGGAUUAGAUACCCUGGUAGUCCUAGCCUUAAACGAUGAUGACUUGGUGUGUCGGGUUUUAAGUCCCGGCGUGCCGGAGCUAACGCGAUAAGUCAUCCGCCUGGGGAGUACGGUCGCAAGACUGAAACUCAAAG
This 862-nucleotide ribosomal RNA is filed under the name uncultured bacterium. Its description in RNAcentral is "bacterial SSU rRNA". It matches the Rfam family "Bacterial small subunit ribosomal RNA", at positions 62 to 906 of the family's 1533-position model. The record is from RNAcentral.